CCCUUAGAUGUUCUGGGCUGCACGCGCGCUACACUGAUGCGAUCAACAAGUUUUUCCUAUGUCGAUAGACACGGGUAAUCUUUUGAACUCGCAUCGUGAUGGGGAUAGAUUAUUGUAAUUAUUAAUCUUCAACGAGGAAUUCCUAGUAGGUGCAAAUCAUCAGUUUGCAUCGAUUACGUCCCUGCCCUUUGUACACACCGCCCGUCGCUGCUACCGACUGGUUGAUCUGGUGAAUUAUUCGGACUGCCGGCUGAAGGGGUUUCCUCAUCUGCCAGCGGAAAGUCUUGUUAACCCUAUCAACUAGAGGAAGCAGAAGUCGUAACA
This 324-nucleotide ribosomal RNA is filed under the name uncultured eukaryote. Its description in RNAcentral is "partial 18S ribosomal RNA". It matches the Rfam family "Eukaryotic small subunit ribosomal RNA", at positions 1470 to 1796 of the family's 1831-position model. The record is from RNAcentral.